UACGGGGGGGCAAGCGUUGUUCGGAAUUACUGGGCGUAAAGGGCUCGUAGGCGGCCAACUAAGUCAGACGUGAAAUCCCUCGGCUUAACCGGGGAACUGCGUCUGAUACUGGAUGGCUUGAGGUUGGGAGAGGGAUGCGGAAUUCCAGGUGUAGCGGUGAGAUGCGUGAGAUAUCUGGAGGAACACCGGUGGCGAAGGCGGCAUCCUGGACCAAUUCUGACGCUGAGGAGCGAAAGCCAGGGGAGCAAACGGG
RNAcentral lists this ribosomal RNA (253 nucleotides) under uncultured bacterium. RNAcentral describes it as "partial 16S ribosomal RNA". It matches the Rfam family "Bacterial small subunit ribosomal RNA", at positions 524 to 776 of the family's 1533-position model. The record is from RNAcentral.